This 229-nucleotide long non-coding RNA is filed under the name Hordeum vulgare. RNAcentral describes it as "long non-coding RNA (HVUL_LNC017156)". The record is from RNAcentral. Lineage: Eukaryota; Viridiplantae; Streptophyta; Magnoliopsida; Poales; Poaceae.
AAAGAUCUAUAGGCUGGGAUUACUGUUGUCACUGUCCUAUAGAUUUGGGUUGUAUCGUUGUGUAUUAUAUUUGCUAUGGAGCUAUGUAUGUAUGGAUGCUAUGGAACUAUAUGUAUAUAUGGAUGCUAUGGAAUUUUGGAUGUAUGCAUGCUAUGGAAUUUUGAUAUAUGGAUCAUGAAAUUUGUUAUGCAACUUUGCAUAUAUGUUAUGUGUUGUGGAUCAGUAAAAC